AAAGCCCGGGGCUCAACCUCGGAGUUGCAUUUGAAACUGGCAGGCUAGAGUACUGUAGAGGGGGGUAGAAUUUCAGGUGUAGCGGUGAAAUGCGUAGAGAUCUGAAGGAAUACCGGUGGCGAAGGCGGCCCCCUGGACAGAUACUGACACUCAGAUGCGAAAGCGUGGGGAGCAAACAGGAUUAGAUACCCUGGUAGUCCACGCCGUAAACGAUGUCUACUUGGAGGUUGUGGCCUUGAGCCGUGGCUUUCGGAGCUAACGCGUUAAGUAGACCGCCUGGGGAGUACGGUCGCAAGAUUAAAACUCAAAUGAAUUGACGGGGGCCCGCACAAGCGGUGGAGCAUGUGGUUUAAUUCGAUGCAACGCGAAGAACCUUACCUACUCUUGACAUCUACAGAAUCCUGCGGAGACGCGGGAGUGCCUUCGGGAACUGUAAGACAGGUGCUGCAUGGCUGUCGUCAGCUCGUGUUGUGAAAUGUUGGGUUAAGUCCCGCAACGAGCGCAACCCUUAUCCUUGUUUGCCAGCGAGUAAUGUCGGGAACUCCAGGGAGACUGCCGGUGAUAAACCGGANGAAGGUGGGGACGACGUCAAGUCAUCAUGGCCCUUACGAGUAGGGCUACACACGUGCUACAAUGGCGCAUACAGAGGGCGGCGAGCUAGCGAUAGUGAGCGAAUCCCAAAAAGUGCGUC
Molecule: ribosomal RNA, 691 nt
Filed under: Vibrio sp. LC05R3
Lineage: Bacteria; Pseudomonadati; Pseudomonadota; Gammaproteobacteria; Vibrionales; Vibrionaceae
Description: bacterial SSU rRNA
Rfam family: Bacterial small subunit ribosomal RNA
Source: RNAcentral